This 468-nucleotide ribosomal RNA is filed under the name uncultured bacterium. RNAcentral describes it as "partial 16S ribosomal RNA". It matches the Rfam family "Bacterial small subunit ribosomal RNA", at positions 28 to 507 of the family's 1533-position model. The record is from RNAcentral.
GACGAACGCUGGCGGCGUGCUUAACACAUGCAAGUCGAACGGAAAGGCCCUGCUUUUGUGGGGUGCUCGAGUGGCGAACGGGUGAGUAACACGUGAGUAACCUGCCCUUGACUUUGGGAUAACUUCAGGAAACUGGGGCUAAUACCGGAUAGGAGCUCCUGCUGCAUGGUGUGGGUUGGAAAGUUUCGGCGGUUGGGGAUGGACUCGCGGCUUAUCAGCUUGUUGGUGGGGUAGUGGCUUACCAAGGCUUUGACGGGUAGCCGGCCUGAGAGGGUGACCGGCCACAUUGGGACUGAGAUACGGCCCAGACUCCUACGGGAGGCAGCAGUGGGGAAUAUUGCACAAUGGGCGGAAGCCUGAUGCAGCAACGCCGCGUGCGGGAUGACGGCCUUCGGGUUGUAAACCGCCUUCGCCUGUGACGAAGCGUGAGUGACGGUAAUGGGUAAAGAAGCACCGGCUAACUACGUG